RNAcentral lists this unclassified non-coding RNA (299 nucleotides) under Bombus terrestris (buff-tailed bumblebee). RNAcentral describes it as "misc RNA ENSBTSG00005029869.1". The record is from RNAcentral. Lineage: Eukaryota; Metazoa; Arthropoda; Insecta; Hymenoptera; Apidae.
CAACAAAUGGCCCCAUUGCCACUGCCACACUGAGAGUAUCGCCUCCCUGCCAGCGUCAACCGCUAAUACAUUCACGUUAUGUUACUACAUUAGUAUCGCGUAUGUGUGCAUUUGGGUAUGAUAUUUUACCAAUUGAGAGAACGCUAACGCGGAGACGCCCAUCUGGAACUCAGUCAUUCCGAACACGUACAGAGUAAGCAGAGUCUCUGUUGACCAUAUGCGAACGUGUGGUUGCGCUUUUCUGUGUCUACCAGCUUUUUGUCCGGAUGCCACCAGCUCUCUACUUGGGUGAACCUACA